GAAAAAUGGAAGUUGCGAAAUUAAUAGAGUUGGUUAGGGAGAAGGAUUGUUUGUGGGCGGUUGGGGCGGUAGAUUACUGGAACAAAAUUUUGAAGGAAAAAGCGUGGAUAGAGGUUGGCGAGGAAAUGGGAAUGGCAGAAUGGGGGUGAAAGAAUGCAAGACAAGGUGGAGGUCGUUGAAAGAUAGGUUCAGGAGAGAGAAAAGAGAGGCGUUUGAGAGUAGGAGUGGGGCAGGGGGUGGAUGUAAAAAAAUGGGAGUUUAUGGGUAGUUUAGAGUUUUUAAACUCGUACUGCGAAAGCAGGAGAACAUCUAGCAGUGUGCCAGAAGAUCUCACCCUCGUAGUAUAUGAAAACGAGGGUGACAUCCAAGAUCAUAGCCAAGUGCAAGAGGAGCUGGAAGAGUCUUCUUUCAUCUUGGAUAUCGAUCAGGCCAUUUUACGCCUAGUUAAUAAAGGUCAGUAAUGCGUUAACGCAGCAACGCACGAUUAAGUUAAAUAAACAAGGUUUUAAGAUGCG
Long non-coding RNA from Styela clava, 515 nucleotides. RefSeq lists it as uncharacterized. Lineage: Eukaryota; Metazoa; Chordata; Ascidiacea; Stolidobranchia; Styelidae. The record is from RefSeq and is a predicted model, not a curated record.